Molecule: ribosomal RNA, 423 nt
Filed under: uncultured bacterium
Lineage: Bacteria
Description: bacterial SSU rRNA
Rfam family: Bacterial small subunit ribosomal RNA
Source: RNAcentral
AAGACCUUGCGCUUUUGGAGCGGCCGAUGCCUGAUUAGCUUGUUGGUAGGGUAAAAGCUUACCAAGGCUUCGAUCAGUAGCUGGUCUGAGAGGACGACCAGCCACACUGGGACUGAGACACGGCCCAGACUCCUACGGGAGGCAGCAGUGGGGAAUUUUGGACAAUGGGGGCAACCCUGAUCCAGCCAUGCCGCGUGAGUGAAGAAGGCCUUCGGGUUGUAAAGCUCUUUCAGCCGGAACGAAACGGUUACGGAUAACACCCGUGACUACUGACGGUACCGGAAGAAGAAGCACCGGCUAACUACGUGCCAGCAGCCGCGGUAAUACGUAGGGUGCGAGCGUUAAUCGGAAUUACUGGGCGUAAAGCGUGCGCAGGUGGUUCUGUAAGUCAGAUGUGAAAGCCCCGGGCUCAACCUGGGAACU